GAUUGAACGCUGGCGGCGUGCCUAACACAUGCAAGUCGAGCGGCAGCGGCGGGGAGCAAUCCUGGCGGCGAGCGGCGGACGGGUGAGUAACGCUUGGGAAUCUGCCUGUUAGUGGGGGACAACCCGGGGAACUCGGGCUAAUACCGCAUACGCACUACGGUGGAAAGCCGGGGACCGCAAGGCCUGGCGCUAACAGAUGAGCCCAAGUCGGAUUAGCUAGUUGGUAGGGUAACGGCCUACCAAGGCGACGAUCCGUAACUGGUCUGAGAGGACGACCAGUCACACCGGAACUGAGACACGGUCCGGACUCCUACGGGAGG
This 320-nucleotide ribosomal RNA is filed under the name uncultured bacterium. RNAcentral describes it as "bacterial SSU rRNA". It matches the Rfam family "Bacterial small subunit ribosomal RNA", at positions 27 to 348 of the family's 1533-position model. The record is from RNAcentral.